Non-coding RNA from Halorubrum sp. J07HR59, 84 nucleotides. NCBI's taxonomy places the organism in Archaea, Methanobacteriati, Methanobacteriota, Halobacteria, Halobacteriales, Haloferacaceae. The record is from Rfam.
GCCGAGAUGGCCGAGUGGACUAAGGCGCACGCCUGGAAAGCGUGUUCCUUCGCGGGAUCGGGGGUUCGAAUCCCCCUCUCGGCG